This 497-nucleotide ribosomal RNA is filed under the name uncultured bacterium. RNAcentral describes it as "partial 16S ribosomal RNA". It matches the Rfam family "Bacterial small subunit ribosomal RNA", at positions 28 to 507 of the family's 1533-position model. The record is from RNAcentral.
GACGAACGCUGGCGGCGUGCCUAAUACAUGCAAGUAGAACGCUGAAGAGAGGAGCUUACUCUUCUUGGAUGAGUUGCGAACGGGUGAGUAACGCGUAGGUAACCUGCCUUGUAGCGGGGGAUAACUAUUGGAAACGAUAGCUAAUACCGCAUAAAAAUGGAUGACACAUGUCAUUUAUUUGAAAGGGGCAAUUGCUCCACUACAAGAUGGACCUGCGUUGUAUUAGCUAGUAGGUGAGGUAAUGGCUCACCUAGGCGACGAUACAUAGCCGACCUGAGAGGGUGAUCGGCCACACUGGGACUGAGACACGGCCCAGACUCCUACGGGAGGCAGCAGUAGGGAAUCUUCGGCAAUGGGGGCAACCCUGACCGAGCAACGCCGCGUGAGUGAAGAAGGUUUUCGGAUCGUAAAGCUCUGUUGUAAGUCAAGAACGGGUGUGAGAGUGGAAAGUUCACAAUGUGACGGUAGCUUACCAGAAAGGGACGGCUAACUACGUG